RNAcentral lists this ribosomal RNA (602 nucleotides) under uncultured bacterium. RNAcentral describes it as "bacterial SSU rRNA". The stretch from base 1 to 517 matches the Rfam family "Bacterial small subunit ribosomal RNA", at positions 338 to 873 of the family's 1533-position model. The record is from RNAcentral.
CCUACGGGAGGCAGCAGUGGGGAAUAUUGGACAAUGGGCGAAAGCCUGAUCCAGCAAUGCCGCGUGAGUGAUGAAGGCCUUAGGGUUGUAAAGCUCUUUUACCAGGGAUGAUAAUGACAGUACCUGGAGAAUAAGCUCCGGCUAACUCCGUGCCAGCAGCCGCGGUAAUACGGAGGGAGCUAGCGUUGUUCGGAAUUACUGGGCGUAAAGCGUGCGUAGGCGGUGAUUCAAGUCAGAGGUGAAAGCCUGGAGCUCAACUCCAGAACGGCCUUUGAAACUAGAUCGCUAGAAUUAUGGAGAGGUAAGUGGAAUUCCGAGUGUAGAGGUGAAAUUCGUAGAUAUUCGGAAGAACACCAGUGGCGAAGGCGACUUACUGGACAUAUAUUGACGCUGAGGUACGAAAGCGUGGGGAGCAAACAGGAUUAGAUACCCUGGUAGUCCACGCCGUAAACGAUGAUAACUAGCUGUUCGGGCUCUCAGAGCUUGAGUGGCGCAGCUACGCAUUAAGUUAUCCGCCGUCGGGAGGUACGGUCGCGAGAGUUAAACUACGAAAGAAGUUAGUACGGCGUGAGACGUCGCGACGGACGACGACGAGGGAGAGG